GAUCCUGGCUCAGGAUGAACGCUAGCUACAGGCUUAACACAUGCAAGUCGAGGGGCAGCAUGGUCUUAGCUUGCUAAGGCCGAUGGCGACCGGCGCACGGGUGAGUAACACGUAUCCAACCUGCCGUCUACUCUUGGACAGCCUUCUGAAAGGAAGAUUAAUACAAGAUGGCAUCAUGAGUCCGCAUGUUCACAUGAUUAAAGGUAUUCCGGANACGAGUAGGGUAGGG
RNAcentral lists this ribosomal RNA (229 nucleotides) under uncultured bacterium. RNAcentral's name for it is "partial 16S ribosomal RNA". It matches the Rfam family "Bacterial small subunit ribosomal RNA", at positions 15 to 229 of the family's 1533-position model. The record is from RNAcentral.